RNAcentral lists this ribosomal RNA (483 nucleotides) under uncultured bacterium. RNAcentral's name for it is "bacterial SSU rRNA". It matches the Rfam family "Bacterial small subunit ribosomal RNA", at positions 28 to 524 of the family's 1533-position model. The record is from RNAcentral.
GACGAACGCUGGCGGCGUGCUUAACACAUGCAAGUCGAACGGUGAUCUUGAGAGCUUGCUCUUGGGUGAUCAGUGGCGAACGGGUGAGUAACACGUGAGUAACCUGCCCUGACUCUGGAAUAACUUCGGGAAACCGAAGCUAAUACCGGAUAUGACACAGAGCCGCAUGGUUUCUGUGUGGAAAGUUUUUCGGUUGGGGAUGGACUCGCGGCCUAUCAGCUUGUUGGUGAGGUAAUGGCUCACCAAGGCGACGACGGGUAGCCGGCCUGAGAGGGCGACCGGCCACACUGGGACUGAGACACGGCCCAGACUCCUACGGGAGGCAGCAGUGGGGAAUAUUGCACAAUGGGCGAAAGCCUGAUGCAGCGACGCCGCGUGAGGGAUGAAGGCCUCGGUGUAAACCUCUUUCAGUAGGGAAGAAGCGCAAGUGACGGUACCUACAGAAGAAGCACCGGCUAACUACGUGCCAGCAGCCGCGGUAAU